Drosophila albomicans is the source of this 844-nucleotide long non-coding RNA. RefSeq lists it as uncharacterized. The transcript has 3 exons. The record is from RefSeq and is a predicted model, not a curated record. Lineage: Eukaryota; Metazoa; Arthropoda; Insecta; Diptera; Drosophilidae.
AAAUUUAUAGGUUAGUUUUAAAACACAUGUAUUUCCCCUAAAAUUUUACGCACUCGCUAAUAACCGAGAUUGUAUUCAAUAAAUGUUAUCAAGCUAUCGUAAUGAAUGAAAGAAAUGGAUAAGAUAUGUUUUGAAUCUCCGAAUUUCACAACAUGAUGUAAUUUAGUCAGAGUAAUAUCCUAAAAUGUGUUGCCAAGUGUUUGGGAACCAUUGACACUUAUCUAUUUGAAGUGCCCGCAUACCUUUAUGAGAGGAAUACGACAAUUUACAACACCGCUAUAAACAAACCAUCAAGAUUAGGUUUGCAAAAUUACGUUUAUUAGUGUAAAUAUUUACCAAAAUGUUAUGCCCUCAAACUUUGCGGCUAAAACCGAAUCGACUAGAUUGAUAGUGUGCCAGACAACACCUUCAGUCACUUACCAGUUUUGUAUCUCGUAGGUUCUAUGCCGAUUGCGAAUAAUCACCGAACGGCCGAACAAACAUUAUCGAACUGCGCUGCACUGGCGAGAAGCGCCAACAUUUAUAGUCCCCGAGAACCACUCGAGAGUUACAUCAGCGGACGCAACUGGCAUUAUUCAGACCUGUACACCGAAUGCAUACAUUAAUAAAUUGACUUGGUCAGGUCAAAUCGGAGUCCGGUCUAGACGUCAUUAGUUGACAUUCCCUGCGAUAACUCAAGAUGCUGACAAUGCUGCAAUUUAUCUAUAACUACAACUAAGUUGUAGACUGAGAACUGUGAAAGGGGGUCAGUAAACCUGACGCCCCCAAGGCUGAACCUCAACUGAAUAGAACGCACGGUUCUGGUUUAAUAAACACACACACAGAUAGGAAGCUAGACUAGAAU